This 253-nucleotide ribosomal RNA is filed under the name uncultured bacterium. RNAcentral's name for it is "partial 16S ribosomal RNA". It matches the Rfam family "Bacterial small subunit ribosomal RNA", at positions 524 to 776 of the family's 1533-position model. The record is from RNAcentral.
UACGUAGGGGGCAAGCGUUAUCCGGAAUCAUUGGGCGUAAAGCGCGUGUAGGCGGUUCCGUAAGUCCGCUCUGAAAGCCCAGGGCUCAACCCUGGGAGGCGGGUGGAUACUACGGAACUGGAGUACGGAAGAGGAGAUUGGAAUUCCUGGUGUAGCGGUGAAAUGCGCAGAUAUCAGGAGGAACACCGGUGGCGAAGGCGGGUCUCUGGGCCGAUACUGACGCUGAGGAGCGAAAGCGUGGGGAGCGAACAGG